This 480-nucleotide ribosomal RNA is filed under the name uncultured bacterium. Its description in RNAcentral is "partial 16S ribosomal RNA". It matches the Rfam family "Bacterial small subunit ribosomal RNA", at positions 28 to 507 of the family's 1533-position model. The record is from RNAcentral.
GACGAACGCUGGCGGCGCGCCUAACACAUGCAAGUCGAGCGAUGAAAUUUUAACCGAUCUCUUCGGAGAGAAGAUAAAAUGGAUUAGCGGCGGACGGGUGAGUAACACGUGAGAAACCUGCCUUUCACAAGGGGAUAGCCUCGGGAAACCGGGAUUAAUACCCUAUGACACAUUUCCUUCGCAUGGAAGAAAUGUUAAAACUCCGGUGGUGAAAGAUGGUCUCGCGCCUGAUUAGCUAGUUGGUGGGGUAACGGCCCACCAAGGCCAUGAUCAGUAACCGGCCUGAGAGGGUGAACGGUCACAUUGGAACAGAGACACGGUCCAAACUCCUACGGGAGGCAGCAGUGGGGAAUAUUGCACAAUGGAGGAAACUCUGAUGCAGCGACGCCGCGUGAGCGAUGAAGGCUUUCGAGUCGUAAAGCUCUGUCCUAUGGGAAGAUAAUGACGGUACCAUAGGAGGAAGCCCCGGCUAACUACGUG